This 78-nucleotide microRNA precursor is filed under the name Trichobilharzia regenti. RNAcentral's name for it is "mir-3492 microRNA precursor family". The record is from Rfam by way of RNAcentral. Lineage: Eukaryota; Metazoa; Platyhelminthes; Trematoda; Strigeidida; Schistosomatidae.
GAUCUUUUAUAUCCAUGGUGAGAUUUCGUCAUCAAUCGGUUCAUUAGGGCUGAUGAAACUUCCCAAAUAAGUGAAGUU